GUAGGUGGCAAGCGUUGUCCGGAAUUAUUGGGCGUAAAGCGCGCGCAGGCGGUCCUUUAAGUCUGAUGUGAAAUCCCACGGGCUCAACCGUGGAAGGUCAUUGGAAACUGGGGGACUUGAGUACAGAAGAGGAAAGCGGAAUUCCAAGUGUAGCGGUGAAAUGCGUAGAGAUUUGGAGGAACACCAGUGGCGAAGGCGGCUUUCUGGUCUGUAACUGACGCUGAGGCGCGAAAGCGUGGGGAGCAAACAGGAUUAGAUACCCUGGUAGUCCACGCCGUAAACGAUGAGUGCUAAGUGUUAGGGGGUUUCCGCCCCUUAGUGCUGCAGCUAACGCAUUAAGCACUCCGCCUGGGAAGUACGGUCGCAAAGACUGA
RNAcentral lists this ribosomal RNA (374 nucleotides) under uncultured organism. RNAcentral describes it as "partial 16S ribosomal RNA". It matches the Rfam family "Bacterial small subunit ribosomal RNA", at positions 527 to 897 of the family's 1533-position model. The record is from RNAcentral.